CUGUUCUGGAGAGAGAAAAUUUACGGGGAUGAAGAAAUAGCAUUUAUGAGCUCGAUGAAGAAGAUUGGAAAAGCACACAAAAAACCCCCUGACAAACACAAACAGUGAUAUUUCAGGCACAGAAGUCUUUUACCAGGGCUAAAAAAAGACAAAGACUUUCAAUGCAGGUUGAGAAUAAAUUGCUCUAAAUUUAUAUUAUAAUUAUCUCUGAAGUUAUCUGAAAGGAAUGAUGGUUAGUACUUGUGAAACAGAGGCAGGAUGAUCAUUAGCAAUGCGGACAUGAACACCUGUGGGACAGAAUGUCUGAACGAGCAAGGUUUUGCUACUUCAUGAAAGAAGAAAAUAUUUGGGAAACAUCUCACCUACCAUUUGUCACUAAAACUUGGGCACUUCCUCCAAAGCAGCCACUGCAGUUCAUGGAGGCAGACAUAAACUGGGCCCAUUUGCUGACAGGACUUGUGACCCUGCAAGGGACCUACCCAGCCUGUUCCUGAAGGAUUGCAACCCAUGGAAGGGACCCACUCUGGAGCAGUUAAUGAAGAACUGGAGCCUGUGGGAAGGACUCACAUUGGAGAAGUCUGUGGAGAACUGUCUCCCAUGAGAGGGACCACAGGCAGAAGCAGGGGAAGAGUGUGAGGAGCCUCCUUCUGAGGCGGAAGGAGCAGCACAGAAAACAUGUGAUGAACUGACCACAGCUCCCAUUCCCUGUCCCCAUGUGCCACUGGCAGGAAGGAGGCAGAGAAAAUUUGAAGUUGAGCCCAGCAAAAAGGGAGGGAUGGGAGGAAGGUGUUUUAAGAACUGGGUUUUCAUUGAUCAUUACCCUACUCUGAUUUGUUUGGUAGUAAACUAAUUUCCCCAAGCUGAGUCUGUUUUGCCCAUGGCAGUACUUGCUGAGUGAUCUCUCCCUGGUGUUAUCUCAACCCACGAGCCUUUUGUUGUAAUUUCUCUCCCCUGCCCAGUUGAGGAGGGGAGUGCUAGAACAGCUUUGGUGGGCAUCCAGAAAGGGUAACCCACCACAGAGGCCAUCAGCAAAGACAUAAAAAAGUUACAAAACUUUAUUUUUAAUAUUACUUGGACCCAAGAUUCCAUUCCAGC
RNAcentral lists this long non-coding RNA (1095 nucleotides) under Manacus vitellinus (golden-collared manakin). Its description in RNAcentral is "lncRNA (ENSMVIG00005013188.1)". The record is from RNAcentral. Lineage: Eukaryota; Metazoa; Chordata; Aves; Passeriformes; Pipridae.